CUGAGGCCAAUCAAAGGCUGGCUGGAACUAGUUAAAAGCCUCCCAAUUAGUCAGAGAGGUGUGCAUGUGUGCCAGGAGUUGUAGGAGGAAGCUGUACUGCUGGAGAAACUGGGUAGUACAAACCCUAUCAGGUACAAGGAAGGAGGCCCUGAGUUUCCUGGGUAACAGCAGACUUCCUAUUCCAGUCAUCUGAUGAAUUAGUUCUCAAAAAUGGGAGAGGCUCACGGAGCUUUUUUUUUUUUCUCAAUGGCUGAAUAGUAAAUUACAGGAGAUGAGCCAGUUGGGCAUAGAUUAGAGAAGUAGCUGGGAAGUCUCCAGGGUUUGCUUUCCUUCUGAAGAAAGAUUUCAUCCAUAUAAUUUAAAAAAUGUUAUGACAACCAUGGCCAAGAGUUCACUUGACCCUCUGCCACACAUACCCUGUAGUCCAUUUUGAUCUGUUUCAAGCUUUGCAAAAAUCUGUCAUCUCAGACCUAUUGGCCUCAUUAGUAGUUCCUUCAAAUUAUCUUCACUAUAUGUGAAGUGGAUUGGCUCUUGUAACAGAAUGGCCUGCCCCUUUUAGGGUCAGGGUUCUUAGGCCAGCAGACCUGAUCAAUUUUCAGACCCAGCUGGAAAGGGAGCAAAGAAUUAUAAAAGACAGCAAGACUGUCUUGUGAUCAGAAUUACUGGGGGAGGGUCUGGCAUGGCCAGGCUGCGCUGCCUCCUCCCCUCUCCUGUAGUAGGAGGAUUGAAAGCUCUGUCCAGUCAGUACUGGGAGAAAAUUUCAGAGCUGUAGCCCAUGGUGAGCAGAGAAACUACUUUUUGUUUGGUUGCUUUGCCUAAGCUAAGAAUAAUUCUCUUCUGUGAAAGAGUGGCAGAGAGUCUUUUCUGGGUUGUGAAAACAGGCCAGCAGGUCACAUGCGAUGGAGAAUGCAGAUAGGCAAUCAGCUCUUGUACUGAGGCAGAGGCUAGCCUGAAGCCAAACCAGGAAGAAAGAACAGGACAGAAUUGACAUUUGAAUUUAACCUCUAUUGCUGCUAGAGGAAAAUGAAUAGACAGCAUGUGUGUCUCGGCUAGAGAGCUGAGUCACUAAAGACCUGCUGAAGACACCCCUGAUGAGGAGAUGCUUUCAAGAGGAUAUGAAGUUCUAGGAGACCACACACGAGAAUGCUCAGGGGAGGACAAGCAGUUGGCUAGUGGUUCCUUCUGGACCUCACCGAGAGGAAGCAUUGAAUACAUUCAACAUCCAUUCUAUGCUAAAUCCUGUGGGCAAGUCAAUGUCUCAGUGGUAUCAAAAGCUGUAAACAGAUCCAAUAAAAAUCAGUACAGACACUUCAUCUCUGACCAUCGCUAAAAAGAGGUUAUCCCCCAUAAAUAUCAAGGCAGUCUCUCUUCCAUAGACAGGAGUGAAACUAGACUGCUAGCA
Molecule: long non-coding RNA, 1402 nt
Organism: Mauremys reevesii (Reeves's turtle)
Lineage: Eukaryota; Metazoa; Chordata; Testudines; Geoemydidae
Exons: 5
Source: RefSeq, a predicted model, not a curated record